Molecule: transfer RNA, 77 nt
Filed under: Puniceicoccales bacterium
Lineage: Bacteria; Pseudomonadati; Verrucomicrobiota; Opitutia; Puniceicoccales
Description: tRNA-Val
Rfam family: tRNA
About the family: Transfer RNA (tRNA) molecules are approximately 80 nucleotides in length. Their secondary structure includes four short double-helical elements and three loops (D, anti-codon, and T loops).
Source: RNAcentral
GGGCGAAUAGUUCAGUUGGUUGGAACGUCCCGUUUACAUCGGGAAGGUCGGGGGUUCGAGUCCCUCUUCGCCCACCA